AGAGUUUGAUCAUGGCUCAGAUUGAACGCUGGCGGCAGGCUUAACACAUGCAAGUCGAGCGGUAACAGGGGAAGCUUGCUUCCCGCUGACGAGCGGCGGACGGGUGAGUAAUGCUUAGGAAUCUGCCCAGUAGUGGGGGAUAGCCCGGGGAAACCCGGAUUAAUACCGCAUACGUCCUACGGGAGAAAGCAGGGGAUCUUCGGACCUUGCGCUAUUGGAUGAGCCUAAGUCGGAUUAGCUAGUUGGUGGGGUAAAGGCCUACCAAGGCGACGAUCCGUAGCUGGUCUGAGAGGAUGAUCAGCCACAUCGGGACUGAGACACGGCCCGAACUCCUACGGGAGGCAGCAGUGGGGAAUAUUGGACAAUGGGGGCAACCCUGAUCCAGCCAUGCCGCGUGUGUGAAGAAGGCUUUCGGGUUGUAAAGCACUUUCAGUAGGGAGGAAAACCUUAUGGUUAAUACCCAUGAGGCUUGACGUUACCUACAGAAGAAGCACCGGCUAACUCCGUGCCAGCAGCCGCGGUAAUACGGAGGGUGCAAGCGUUAAUCGGAAUUACUGGGCGUAAAGCGCGCGUAGGUGGUUUGGUAAGCGAGAUGUGAAAGCCCCGGGCUUAACCUGGGAACGGCAUUUCGAACUGUCAGACUAGAGUGUGGUAGAGGGUAGUGGAAUUUCCUGUGUAGCGGUGAAAUGCGUAGAUAUAGGAAGGAACACCAGUGGCGAAGGCGGCUACCUGGACCAACACUGACACUGAGGUGCGAAAGCGUGGGGAGCAAACAGGAUUAGAUACCCUGGUAGUCCACGCCGUAAACGAUGUCAACUAGCCGUUGGGGCUCUUGAAGUCUUAGUGGCGCAGCUAACGCACUAAGUUGACCGCCUGGGGAGUACGGCCGCAAGGUUAAAACUCAAAUGAAUUGACGGGGGCCCGCACAAGCGGUGGAGCAUGUGGUUUAAUUCGACGCAACGCGAAGAACCUUACCUGGCCUUGACAUCCAGAGAACUUUCCAGAGAUGGAUUGGUGCCUUCGGGAACUCUGAGACAGGUGCUGCAUGGCCGUCGUCAGCUCGUGUCGUGAGAUGUUGGGUUAAGUCCCGUAACGAGCGCAACCCCUAUCCCUGGUUGCUAGCAGGUAAUGCUGAGAACUCCAGGGAGACUGCCGGUGACAAACCGGAGGAAGGUGGGGAUGACGUCAGGUCAUCAUGGCCCUUACGGCCAGGGCUACACACGUGCUACAAUGGCGCGUACAGAGGGCUGCCAACUCGCGAGAGUGAGCCAAUCCCUUAAAACGCGUCGUAGUCCGGAUCGGAGUCUGCAACUCGACUCCGUGAAGUCGGAAUCGCUAGUAAUCGCGAAUCAGAAUGUCGCGGUGAAUAC
This 1370-nucleotide ribosomal RNA is filed under the name Marinobacter sp. AN-BI1B. RNAcentral describes it as "bacterial SSU rRNA". It matches the Rfam family "Bacterial small subunit ribosomal RNA", at positions 8 to 1369 of the family's 1533-position model. Lineage: Bacteria; Pseudomonadati; Pseudomonadota; Gammaproteobacteria; Pseudomonadales; Marinobacteraceae. The record is from RNAcentral.